AUACGUAGGGGGCAAGCGUUGUCCGGAUUUACUGGGUGUAAAGGGUGCGUAGGCGGGCGUUUAAGUCCGCGGUGAAAGUCUGCGGCUCAACCGUAGGAUUGCCGUGGAUACUGGACGUCUUGGAUUCGGUCGGGGCGGGCGGAAUGCGUGGUGUAGCGGUGAAAUGCAUAGAUAUCACGCAGAACGCCGAUAGCGAAGGCAGCUCGCCGGGCCGAAAUCGACGCUGAGGCACGAAAGCGUGGGGAUC
This 247-nucleotide ribosomal RNA is filed under the name uncultured bacterium. Its description in RNAcentral is "partial 16S ribosomal RNA". It matches the Rfam family "Bacterial small subunit ribosomal RNA", at positions 523 to 769 of the family's 1533-position model. The record is from RNAcentral.